UACGAAGGGGGCUAGCGUUGCUCGGAAUUACUGGGCGUAAAGGGCGCGUAGGCGGUUCGUUAAGUCCUGUGUGAAAUCCCCCGGCUCAACUGGGGAACUGCACAGGAAACUAGCGGGCUUGAGUUCGGGAGAGGGGAGCGGAAUUCCGGGUGUAGCGGUGAAAUGCGUAGAUAUCCGGAGGAACACCGGUGGCGAAGGCGGCUUCCUGGACCGACACUGACGCUGAGGCGCGAAAGCUAGGGGAGCAAACGGG
This 253-nucleotide ribosomal RNA is filed under the name uncultured bacterium. RNAcentral's name for it is "partial 16S ribosomal RNA". It matches the Rfam family "Bacterial small subunit ribosomal RNA", at positions 524 to 776 of the family's 1533-position model. The record is from RNAcentral.